CACCGAUUCCAGUAUGAUCACCGAAGUUAAGCAAUGUCAAGCAUGGUCAGUACCUAGAUGUGUGACCGAUUGGGAAUACCAGUUGCUGUAA
Molecule: non-coding RNA, 91 nt
Organism: Acanthosepion pharaonis
Lineage: Eukaryota; Metazoa; Mollusca; Cephalopoda; Sepiida; Sepiidae
Source: the annotation of a GenBank genome assembly